CGUGCGCACGCGCCGAAUCCCGCAAGGGAACCGGGGAACCACCACUUGGGGUGAAUCACGCGGAUACCGCCGUGGCGACACGGCACGUAUACGCGCGUAGGAGACCUUCCUGCUCCGAACCCGUCAGCUAACCCGGUAGGCGAAGGAAGGAAAGGAGUG
RNAcentral lists this small RNA (159 nucleotides) under Streptomyces griseoflavus. RNAcentral describes it as "c-di-AMP sequence". It matches the Rfam family "c-di-AMP riboswitch aptamer (ydaO/yuaA leader)". From Rfam's summary of the family: This family represents a conserved RNA structure found upstream of the ydaO and yuaA genes in Bacillus subtilis and related genes in other bacteria. The ydaO/yuaA element is thought to act as a genetic "off" switch for the ydaO and yuaA genes in its native state. The record is from RNAcentral. Lineage: Bacteria; Bacillati; Actinomycetota; Actinomycetes; Kitasatosporales; Streptomycetaceae.